ACAGCCGACGCGGAUCAAAGUGUAGUGUCUGUUCUUAUCAGCUUAAUAUCUGAUACGGGUUCCAUUUGGACCCAAUAUGAUAUUAAGCUUAUUUUCGCAAGUUGGCUGAGUGCUUCAAGCCUGCUUCACCUCUGCCGCGGGUCGGCCCGGUAUCGCACUAUCUCCGGUAUCGGCACACAGUUU
Molecule: small nuclear RNA, 183 nt
Organism: Dermacentor albipictus
Lineage: Eukaryota; Metazoa; Arthropoda; Arachnida; Ixodida; Ixodidae
Product: U2 spliceosomal RNA
Source: RefSeq, a predicted model, not a curated record